GCAUUAAUGGGGUAGUGCUAACCUGGGUCCUUGCCACACGGCAAUAUGUGGUGUGCAUUAUUGACCUGCCAGGGGUUCAAUUCCCCUUAAUGCA
Mycena galopus ATCC 62051 is the source of this 94-nucleotide non-coding RNA. The record is from the annotation of a GenBank genome assembly. NCBI's taxonomy places the organism in Eukaryota, Fungi, Basidiomycota, Agaricomycetes, Agaricales, Mycenaceae.